Long non-coding RNA from Strigops habroptila (Kakapo), 233 nucleotides. RefSeq lists it as uncharacterized. The transcript has 3 exons. NCBI's taxonomy places the organism in Eukaryota, Metazoa, Chordata, Aves, Psittaciformes, Psittacidae. The record is from RefSeq and is a predicted model, not a curated record.
AGGAGAGGGAACUGUUAUAUUAUAUUUAAUCUACUGUCAUUUACUAAUUAUCUUGAAAAGAUAAGUAUAAAUGUUAGGUUCUCUGUGCCUGUCUUUUGACAUUGAUAACCCCUCUUGAGAUCUUUCCUUUCUGUGAAGUUUUCCUUUUUUUUCCUGCCAUUCUGUAAGAGAACAGUCUUUGGUUAGAAUAAAAGCCCCUGUUACAGGUACAGAUAUUGUUGAUCUUUUCCAUG